UGGNGAUGCCAGAUUGAUGUAACUUACCUU
Molecule: non-coding RNA, 30 nt
Filed under: Mus musculus (house mouse)
Lineage: Eukaryota; Metazoa; Chordata; Mammalia; Rodentia; Muridae
Source: RNAcentral